AGAGUGAACGCUGGCGGCAGGCCUAACACAUGCAAGUCGAGCGGCAGCGCAGUCGUAGCAAUACGAUGGGCGGCGAGCGGCGGACGGGUGAGGAACACAUCGGAAUCUACCCUGUCGUGGGGGACAACAUAGGGAAACUUACGCUAAUACCGCAUACGACCUUUGGGUGAAAGUGGGGGACCGCAAGGCCUCACGCGAUUGGAUGAGCCGAUGUCCGAUUAGCUAGUUGGCGGGGUAAUGGCCCACCAAGACGAUGAUUGGUAUCCGGCCUGAGAGGGCGCACGGACACACUGGAACUGAAACACGGUCCAGACUCCUACGGGAGGCAGCAGUGGGGAAUUUUGCGCAAUGGGGGAAACCCUGACGCAGCAACGCCGCGUGGAGGAUGAAGCCCUUGGGGUGUAAACUCCUUUCGAUCGGGAAGAUAAUGACGGUACCGAUAUAAGAAGCCCCGGCUAACUUCGUGCCAGCAGCCGCGGUAA
This 482-nucleotide ribosomal RNA is filed under the name uncultured bacterium. RNAcentral describes it as "SSU rRNA". It matches the Rfam family "Bacterial small subunit ribosomal RNA", at positions 26 to 523 of the family's 1533-position model. The record is from RNAcentral.